RNAcentral lists this ribosomal RNA (466 nucleotides) under Vreelandella stevensii. RNAcentral describes it as "partial 16S ribosomal RNA". It matches the Rfam family "Bacterial small subunit ribosomal RNA", at positions 338 to 795 of the family's 1533-position model. Lineage: Bacteria; Pseudomonadati; Pseudomonadota; Gammaproteobacteria; Oceanospirillales; Halomonadaceae. The record is from RNAcentral.
CCUACGGGGGGCUGCAGUGGGGAAUAUUGGACAAUGGGCGAAAGCCUGAUCCAGCCAUGCCGCGUGUGUGAAGAAGGCCUUCGGGUUGUAAAGCACUUUCAGUGGGGAAGAAAGCCUUGGGGCUAAUACCCUCGAGGAAGGACAUCACCCACAGAAGAAGCACCGGCUAACUCCGUGCCAGCAGCCGCGGUGAAUACGGAGGGUGCGAGCGUUAAUCGGAAUUACUGGGCGUAAAGCGCGCGUAGGCGGUCUGAUAAGCCGGUUGUGAAAGCCCCGGGCUCAACCUGGGAACGGCAUCCGGACCUGUCAGGCUAGAGUGCAGGAGAGGAAGGUAGAAUUCCCGGUGUAGCGGUGAAAUGCGUAGAGAUCGGGAGGAAUACCAGUGGCGAAGGCGGCCUUCUGGACUGACACUGACGCUGAGGUGCGAAAGCGUGGGUAGCAAACAGGAUUAGAUACCCGAGUAGUC